This is an RNA transcript of Aethalodelphis obliquidens (Pacific white-sided dolphin), 10298 nucleotides long. It is a transcript of the gene named chondroitin sulfate N-acetylgalactosaminyltransferase 2, with no coding region annotated. The transcript has 14 exons. The record is from RefSeq and is a predicted model, not a curated record. Lineage: Eukaryota; Metazoa; Chordata; Mammalia; Artiodactyla; Delphinidae.
GUGCGGGCUCUGGGGCGCGGGCCCCGGACUGUGGGUUCCCGUCGCUGUUGGGUCACCUCACGGACGAGCUCUCCUGGGGGCCGUGUCCCCGUGGGUUCGCCGCAAGCCCUCCGGAGUCUGCUCCGGUGUCAGGAAAAGCCGCGGUUUUUCGGAGCCCUUUGACUUGGCUUUUCAGAACUGUGCUGCCGGAGACCGUUGGUUUGCGUGUGUUUUAUUUUUAUCACUUUUUUUUUUUUUUUAAACCAACUCACCGCCAUCUCUGCUCCCCUCAGUGGGUAAACUUUGUGGUCAGCUGUUACCGCUUUAUUGCGUUAAAUUAGUAUUCUCUGGCGGCAGCCUUUCUAUGCCUGCCAGACGCUAGGCACCUUUAAAAGAUGCAUAUUUGUGUAGGAAUUAGUGGCGCCGAGGAGACCACGGGACGGGAAGCCUCUUGCAUUUUUAGACUUCUUGAAAAUUACACUAUUCCUGAGCAACUUGCCGAGGAAUAAUUUGUAAACGCCAUAGUGAAGCUUUUAUUUAUGAUGUUAUUGGGAGAAUGAAAAUUUGAUUAUAAACCUGAAGCUUUUAUCCGUCAGACUACUUUUGAGAUUUAUAUGCGCUGUCUGGACAUUUAACUAUCAUUGAAGGUUCUCAGGAGCUGGGCCUUGAUUUUUGCUGGAGUUAAUGUUGUAUUAAAACAGGACUUCGAACGUGGAAGUAGGAAUCCAAGUAGUAUUUUAUGACUGAGGACGUUAACGUUCAUUUUGCAUUAUUAUUCUGAUACCAUUUGUCUAAAGUUGUCUUAUUACUUAAUGUAAAAAGGAUGUGGAUAUCCACUAUUUAUGGCUUAGAGAAUUUUGACAUAAGUAAACAGUUUUAGUUCUCUUAGUUUGGAAAUUACAUUUUUUUCUUUAACUUUUUGAUUGAGAUAUAAAAUAUCUAUGAAGUCAUCAAGCGCAUAAAUCUUAGUUGUACACCUCAGUGAAUUUUUGUUUUUAUUGUGCAACCACCAGCUUUCAUAUUAUACCUGUAGAGCAUUUCCAUCAUUCCAGGAGUUUCCCCCUGCUUCUUCCAAGUCAGUUAUACCCCUGCCCAGCCCCCAUCAGUAUUUUGAUUUCUGUCAUCAUCUAUUAGUUUUCUCUAUUUGGGGCUUGAUAUUAAUGGAAUCCUACAGUAUACUCAGCAUAUUGAUUAUGAGAUUCUUCCAUAAUGUUUCAUGUAUCAGUAGUUCUUUUUUAUUGCUGUGUGGUAAUCCAUUGUAUCAUUAUAUGGCACUCCUCUGUUGGUGGAUAUUUAUGUUUCCAGUUUUUGUAUAUUAUGUAUUUUGAAGAAUGCUAUGAACAUUCUUACAAAUGUCUUGGUGAACAUCUGUGCAUUUCUGUCAGCUGUGGAAUGGCUAAAUCAUAAGAAAAAUCACCACCCGUGUCAUGGAUUUUAUCUGAUUGUGUAGAUCAGAUUUCCUUAUUCUGGAUAUCAUGGUAACAAUAUAGGAAAUAUGCAUUAUUUCUGCAAGUAGAAUUCACUGCUGAAGGAAGAAAUUUUUUAAGCUACAGCCAAAUUCAUUUUGGUACCUUUUAUGGAAAUCCUGAUUUUGUUUUUACUUUUUUAUAACCUUUCGCAAAAGGUAUGAACAAGCAAAGAGCACAUCUCAUUAGGCAAGUCCACAUUAAUAAGAAUGCCUAGAAGAGGAUUGAUUCUUCAGACCCGGACCCACUGGCUACUGUUGGGUCUCGCUUUACUCUGCAGUUUAAUAUUAUUUUUGUACCUUCUGGAAUGUGCCCCCCAGACUGAUGGAAAUGCAUCUCUUCCCGGUAUCGUUGGGGAAAAUUAUGGUAAAGAGUAUUAUCAAGCCCUCCUACAGGAGCAGGAAGAACAUUAUCAAACCAGAGCAACCAGUCUGAAACGCCAGAUUGCCCAAUUAAAACAAGAAUUGCAAGAAAUGAGUGAGAAGAUGAGAUCACUGCAGGAGAGAAAGAAUGUAGGGGCUAAUGGCAUAGGCUAUCAAGGCAACAAAGAGCAAGCACCUAGUGAUCUUUUAGAGUUUCUUCAUUCACAAAUUGACAAAGCUGAAGUUAGCAUAGGAGCCAAACUACCUAGUGAGUAUGGAGUCAUUCCCUUUGAAAGUUUUACCUUAAUGAAAGUAUUCCAGUUGGAAAUGGGUCUCACUCGCCAUCCUGAGGAAAAACCAGUUAGAAAAGAUAAGCGAGAUGAAUUGGUAGAAGUUAUUGAAGCUGGCUUGGAGGUCAUUAAUAAUCCUGAUGAAGACGAUGAACAGGAAGAUGAAGAUGGUCCCCUUGGAGAAAAACUGGUAUUUAAUGAAAAUGACUUCAUAGAAGGUUAUUAUCGCACUGAGAGAGAUAAGGGCACACUGUAUGAACUCUUUUUUAAGAAAGCAGACCUUACGGAAUAUAGACACGUGACUCUCUUCCGCCCUUUUGGACCUCUCAUGAAAGUGAAGAACGAGAUGAUUGACAUUACUAGAUCAAUUAUUAAUAUCAUUGUGCCGCUUGCUGAAAGAACUGAAGCAUUUGCACAGUUUAUGCAGAACUUCAGGGAUGUAUGUAUUCAUCAGGACAAGAGAAUUCAUCUCACAGUGGUGUAUUUUGGUAAAGAAGGACUAUCUAAAGUCAAGUCUAUCCUAGAAUCUGUCACAAGUGAGUCUAAUUUUCACAAUUACACCUUGGUCUCAUUGAAUGAAGAAUUUAAUCGUGGACGAGGACUAAAUGUGGGUGCCCGAGCUUGGGACAAGGGAGAGGUCUUGAUGUUUUUCUGCGAUGUUGAUAUAUAUUUCUCAGCUGAAUUCCUUAACAGCUGCCGGUUAAAUGCUGAGCCAGGUAAGAAGGUGUUUUACCCUGUGGUGUUUAGUCUUUACAACCCUGCCAUUGUUUAUGCAAAUCUGGAUGUGCCCCCACCUGUGGAACAGCAGCUGGUUCACAAAAAGGAUUCUGGCUUUUGGCGAGAUUUUGGCUUUGGAAUGACUUGUCAGUAUCGAUCAGAUUUCCUGACCAUUGGUGGAUUUGAUAUGGAAGUAAAAGGUUGGGGUGGAGAAGAUGUUCAUCUUUAUCGAAAAUACUUACAUGGUGACUUGAUUGUGAUUCGGACUCCGGUUCCUGGUCUUUUCCACCUCUGGCACGAGAAACGCUGUGCUGAUGAGUUGACACCCGAGCAGUACCGCAUGUGCAUCCAGUCCAAAGCCAUGAACGAGGCCUCUCACUCGCACCUGGGAAUGCUGGUCUUCAGGGAGGAAAUAGAGACGCAUCUUCACAAACAGGCAUACAGGACAAAUAGCGAAUCUGUUGGUUAAUGUCAUCAGUGACACAUUAGUCUGAACCACAAACCAGCACUAUUUAGCCUUAAUUCCAAUUCCAGAUGCAGUGCCUCUUUCAGAGAAGACAUGCUUAUCUUUUGUGUUCUUGCUGACAUUACUUUAGCAAUUUAACUUAGUGUGAGAAGAAAAAGCAAGUUUUGCAAUGCAAAGUCUCUGUUUUGUGAGUAUACUUCACUAUGGAAUCAUUGACAAAUCAAAAUCUGGUAUUUGUUCUAAGAGUAGCUUUGAGUUAAUUUUACCCGGCUUCAUGUUCUGAUGUGUAUCCUGGUUGCGUCUGGGCUGAGGGAUGGAAUGUGUUGUGCUGAAGGUGGGUCGGGAGCAUCCUGUUCCCAAAGAGAGGACGGAGUGUUAUGGAUGGAGUGUGUGGGUAAGGGCUCUUCACCUACCGACCACUGAGUCAACCUACUUGGUUUUAAAUUAAGAUCUUUGGGCAGUUGCUUAAAGGAUCCUUUUUCACUGAAGCAGAGAAUAAUUAAAUGACACAUCUAAAAUCCCCAACUAAUCAAGAGAAGGCAGAGACAAAAAUCCCUCAACUUUGUGUUGUUGCCUAGCCCCCUCAAUGUCUGUUUUUAAACAAAUGGGUAAUUGUAGAAAAUACUAAGGUUAUAAUCUGUGGCUUGAUUAAAAAUAUAAUGUGUUACAAAUUUAGCAUCAUGUUCAGGAUUAGGAGUCAAAGUUGCUGUAGACUGUUUUGAACAAACAGAAAUGAACAUGGAAACGUCUUUAACAGAACAGUUAAUUAUGCUGGAGUGUAGGACACUAGGGGUGUCUGGGACAUCAGUUUACAUGAGCCAGGGCCCUAUCAGGGCCUUCUUGUGGUGGUUCAGAAUAGAUGAACAUAGCAUGGUGUCGUGUGUUUUUGGCUUUGUAUUGUCUUAUUUAGCAUGGAUCCAUAUGUAUGUAUUAUCCUUUUUUUCUAAUAUGUUAAUUAAGCUACAUCUGUGUUAUUAUAAUACUUUGAGUUGAGGAGGAGUUUCACUGAAGGAAGAAAAACCAAACAAUUUAAUAAGGUAUACCAUAAGAUCAUACUGAUUUGAGAAAAGGGGAGGAGGGGAAGUUUGUCUAAAUGGAAAUCUGAAUUACAGAAUAUUUUAGAGAAAUAUAUAACUUGCAGAUAGAAUGAUGUUUUAAUUGAGGUGUAAAUUAUAUUAAGGAGACAAGAUGAGUAAGAAAUUAUAUUCAGAUAUGACUGUACUGUGUUAUUUAUCACACAUGGAUCUUUUACCAUAUGGUCAAUUGCUAGAUCCACAAAUUGGAGAUAUGGUGAAAGGCAUGCAUAGAUUUUUGAACCUUUGGCUUUUAAAAGGGACCUAUAUUGAAUUCUUUCUAUUUGUAUAGAAACCCCUGAAAAUUCAUAGAAGACAAAUCAUUACUCUUCUUUCUCAGUAAAUCAUAUCAUCUGAAAUAUUAUAAAUCCCAAAUUUCUUGGUGCUACAUGAAUUCAAUUUUAUAAUAACUCUUACUAAAUAUUCUUACAAGUUUUUAGUUGGGGUAGCAUUUAGGCUUAGUUUUUUAAGAUGUGUAAAAUGUUCUCUGCAAAAUUGUUCAGGCCAUUUUCUCCUUUUAUAUACAGUUAUUUAUUGUGAAGACCAGUGAAUUAAGGUAUUUAAAGUGAGAGAACCUAAUUAUUUACAAAAGUGAGUUGUAGCUGUUUUUUUGACAGAAUCAAAUGAUUUUUUUCCUUUUUUAAAAAAAAAAAAAGCUUUUCAUUUAAAGAUGGAAGCUAAGCAAUGGAAACAUUACUCUGUUUUUGACAGUAAAAGGUACCAAUAAAGUAUUUUAUUACCGAAAGUUAAAUGAAAAUGUGAUAAGUUAGUUUCUUUCUGUUGUAAAAUAUCAUAAAUACAGAAGUGUAUGACAUGUAAAUGUGUACUUUAAAGAAUAAUAAAGCCAACGCUAGUGCACCAGCUAUUCAGAUUAGGAUAUAGAACAUUACCAGUGAAAAGUCUCUGUGUGCCCUUUCUCGAUCACAUACCCUCACCUCACUCUCUGCAUAAUAGUCACUAUCCUGAUUUUUGUGAUAGUUUUUCACUCAUUUUUCUUCACAGUUUUCCCAACUAUGUAUGUAUCUCUACCCAAUGACUAUUUUGCCUGUUUUGAAUUUGUAUGCAUAUUAUUUCAUUAUACUCUAACUUUCAGUAUUUUGUUUUUGAGGUUCACUCAUGUUAAUCUCAAAAUUAAUUCAUUUUCAUUACUGACUAGUAUUCCACUGAAUGAAAAUACUGUAGUAUUAUUCUACUGUUGAUAGAUAUUUGGAUCAUUCAUCAUUUUUUUUUUUGUUUGCUUAUUUGCUUUUGCUAUCACAAGCAAUGUUGUCAUGAAUACUGCUGUGCGUGUCUCUUAGGAGUGUGUGAGAAUUUCUCUAGGAGUAAUGAUGCUAAGUCAUCGGUUGUGUGUACGUUCAACUUACUUUCCGAAGUGGACCACCUCCAGCACUGUAAGAGAUUCACUUUGCAUCCUUGGCAAUACUUAAUUUUGUCAGGCUUAUUAAUUCUUGCUAAUCUAGUGGGCUUUAGGCAUGAAUUGUAAUUAUAAUUUUCAUUUCCAGUCUUUUUGCCCAUUAUUAUAAGUUCAUAGGAAUUCUUCACAUAUUCUGGGUACCAAUUCUUGUUGGUUAAAUGUUUACAAGUAACUUCUCCCAGGAUGUGGCUUGUCUUUUCCCAUUGUUGAUGGUACUUUUUGAUGAAUAAAAAUUAACUUUAAUGUGUUCAAUUAAUCUUUUUCCUUUAUGUUUUCUUUUUAUUACUGAUUUAUGACCUCAUAAUAGAGAAGGGUAUCCUAAAGCUAUUGUUCUGUAUUAUCUUCUAAAUACCUCAUACGUAGCUUUGCUUUUUCCCAGUCAUAAAAGUGGAAGAGGUUUUAUGUAUUAUGUGACGUAAGGAUUGCAUUUCACUUUUUUCCAGCGUCGCCUUACUAUGAAGUCCAUAUUUUGCCCACAGAUCUGCAAAACCACUCUCAUCCAUCAGAUGUCAUACACACACAGGAUUUGUUGUGCAGUGUUGACUGGAGUGAUAGUAGAGGACUUCCUGCCCAUAUUUCUUAUUUCAAGGGAGACAUUCUCAGUGUUUCAUCAGUUUGCCCCUGAAACUGUGUGUAAAGUGAAAGGUGGUAACCCUCAGUCAUCCCAUGGCGUUAGGAGCUGCACACUGCGCUGGUCGCUGGCCACACAGCUACACGCCAAGAGGCUUCUACACAGAAAGAGCUGAGGCCCUAGUGCGUGAGACGGAUGCCGGCAGUAUGUGGUGUGGAUGGUGGGGCAAGGCCGGAGGAGCACGAGCGCCACUCACCAGGAAGAUCAGGUCUGCGCAGGGGCCCUGAGAACAUCUCAGACAAGUUCCCAGUGUUGCUGCUGCUGCCAGGCUGGGACCCACACCUUGAGAAGCACUGCCUGGAGGGACCACCCAUGGGUGAAGGACAGGGCCGUGCCAAGCCAAGCCAGCUCGCGUCCUGCUCCCAGCUCCGCAUCCAAGAUGCAGACCAGAUGAUGUGCUGCUCCUUCUUUAGCUGAGUGCUCCUGAGCGUGACCCAUUGAAACGGAAGGAGAACCGCGCAGCAGAAAGACGUCGGCAGGCACUCCCCAACGUCCCCAGCCCCCGGAGAGACCCACAGCACCCGUGGACACUGAAGGUUCUUGUUAGUCCCUACAGUAAAGGAACCUUGAGAGUCGUUUAAGGUAGGCUUCCUGAACUGACAUGACCAUGUAAUUCCAGCUGCUAGUGAUAUCCUUCUGGAUCUUUCUUUGAGGAAAGCAGCAGAGACCAUGCCUCUUAUACAGCUUUGUUUUGUUUUGCAAUGUUUAUUUGCAAAGCCCUUUGUCAGAAUGUGGAGGUGAGAGCUGCUUGCUCCAUCUCUGAAAGGCCCGUGGUGGCCCUGGCAGUCUCAUCCUCCCCCCCUGGCCUGGGCAUCCCCACGCCUCCUGCCAACACAGAACCACGCACAGAGAACAGGCACACGAGGGGAGCAACAUGUUCUUUUAUUGAUGCAAGUACGUCCAGUCACACCAACAGUUGACAUCCUUUAUUAUUAUAAAGUACAGCUUUAUACGCAGAGUUCAUCUCGAAAUAUCAAAACAUCAUAGGGUAUGUGUCAAAUUGGGAAAAUAAAGUAGCAAAUGUAGCACUGUGUCAGGUCGGUACUAGAACUGAUGACCAAGUGAAGCGCACACUGAUGUGAAAGCUCCUUAACACAUGGACAGAAAAGGUUCUAACAUUGUAUUCCAAAUAUAUAUUCUCAAGUUUUAAACCUUUCUUUAUCUCAAAUACAUAAACAAAGCAAUAUGUACUGUCAAUAUACAAUAUGUACUAUCUAGAACGUCUGGAAAGUGCAAAAACACUGUGACAAUACAGUGUAAAUAUCCUUGCUCCACCCUGGGCUGAGGGCGACAUCAGCAGCGGAUCAUGGAGCCACCUCCCCCUGAGGCCUCGCCUUCACAUCUCCAGGCUCUCCUAGGAGUUUUGGGAAUUAGCAACUAACUGUCCUUACCCAGGCCUGCCAGCUGGAGGCUCCGGCGGAAGCCAGCCAUGUGGAGAGAAACAGGGUGAGUAGUUCCAAAUCUGCUUGGAUGGAAUGACAGCCCCGCCAUGAGGGAGAUACAGUUAGCAUGGAUUGCCCAUUUCUGGCCUUGGAGGGAGCAGGGCUGUCACUGUCUCAUGGCCGGGAAGUCAGAAAAUGGAGAGUACUCCUCGAGUUCGGGUGUGGAAAAUACCUCCAAAUGUUGGGCAGCUUUACGUGAGUGGGCUCCAGCAGGUACUGGCCUGGCUAACCUUCCAUGUUUCACAUUCCGUUAGGGGAGCCCAAUCCCCCACCCAGAGGGAAGGAGGAUACUGAUUUGUAAGUUGCUUCUUUUGACUUUGUACUUGAGUUUCAAGAUGGCUUUAUACGUCCCCAUCCUUAAUUGUACUUUGUAUUCGCUUCAUUACAGCUAAGUAAGUGUGUCAAAGUUACAGCCUGGAAAACGGACAAUUCCAUGACUCCCUCCUUACGUUAUUUUAGAUUUUCUCUUUUCCUAAAAUGUAGGUGAAGAACAAUUUGCCAGACAUCUUCCAACAGAAAAUAUGCUGCCAGGUGUCCCCCUGCCCUCCCCCCAACCCCCAUAAAUCCCUGAUAAAGGAAAAUGAAAAUGUAAACUUUGGAAAGCCCGUAUUCAAGGUUCACUUCUGGAAGUACGCAAAUGAGACCUCCGGGCCACCCGAGCCCUUCUUGCCAGAACCUUGUGGGCCUGCGCUUUGAGGGCAGAGCUUCCCCGGUGCCUCCAGCGGCACUGGCUGCAGGCGAGAGCGGGCCUGCCAGAACCCUCUAAGGCACUCACCCCGACAUCAGAGACACUGGCUGGAAAGGAGGCAGGGCUCACGUUGGUUUUGGUUGGGUUUUUUUAAGUAUUUUUUUGUAAGAUGUUUGUUAAUAAUCAAAAGUAGAAAAUAAAAAUCUACAUUUCAUUAGAAUAAGAUGUUAUCAUGGAUGCCAUCUCCCAUGAUACUCUUUCCCCACCCCUCCCCAAAGCAGGGCCCUGCCCUGUCAUAAACAAAAAGCUUUAAGUGCCAAAGGUUGAUGCAUGAAAUAAUUACUUCUUUUUUUUCAUAAAAGUUAUGUACAAAAUGGACCCCAACCAGUGAGGCCUCAUCUCAGCCCAUUAUCACUCGAGAUUAAAACUCAGUACGUAGGUGUGCUUAAUCCCAGCGUGUGCAGGCUGCAUCCGUGCCUUCAGGCUCUGUUAAGGAGAGUGGUCCUAAAGACUCUGGUAUGGGGCUGGUCUUGGGGGCUCACCGGACUGCUGCUGGAGUUCUCCUACCUGAGGGUCUUCCAGCUGUCCUUUUCCAUGUGGUUCUCGGGACCUUCACUUUCGAAGGAGGCGAUGAAGAGAGCUGAGAGACGAGAAGCCCCGCAGAAGCCAUGUCCACACCCGACACCUCCCAAACCUGACCAGCUCCACAAGACACACACUUGCAAAAACUGGAUUCUCUGAUCAAAUACAUCUGGUCAAGGCUGUAGACUCGCCUCUCAGCCCCUGGGCCCCCCAGACGGUCCAAGACCAUGGAAGUCGAACAAGAAAAAGGCCAGUCUCUGCUUGGUCGGCACUGCCCAACCUGGGGCUGUCGGCCUGCUUUUGCCGACAAACUCCUUGCUGAUCUUUCCCCCAAGCUUUGCUUUAGGCGAUGCCAGUUCUGACUCAAGGCCCAAGGGCCGAGGAGAGCAUGGGCUACCUGCCUUCUGGGGGCGCCGCGGCCAGGUCAGCGGACACACCCAACAUCAGACGGCACUCGGGGCAGCAGGCCCUCAGCAAGGGGCCAGAGCGUGAUGGGACGCCCAGCCCUCCUCAGGCUGACUCGGGACAAGACAGGGUGCCUACCUCUAAGACGUCGAACUUGGCCGUCUUGACUUUGGACCAGGUUUUCUUCAGCCUUGCCACAGGACUGAGGUUCAUGCCAGCUGCAGGGGGGACGACAGCUAGGGUCAGGGCGGGAGGAGAUGGGCCACACCGUGCUGGAGGGGGAGCCCCUGGGGCCCGCACACUCACAGAUGAUGGCCAUCAUGGAGUUGAAGUUCCCGAUGUUGAAGCACUCUCGGGCCACAUCGAUGAAGAACUCCAGCAUGCGAGUCCGAUGCUUCUUCUUCACCACCUGGAGGGCAGCCAGACUGCUCAGCGCGGUCCCCACCAGGGGUCAUCCCCUACCACACCAGCCCCCAAAGUGCAGUGCCCUGGGCCUACGGAGGGGCCUCCCCAGCAGGGAGCUGCCCUGGGCCCUCAGAGCUGUCAGGCCGGGGGUGGAGGGAUUCUCACAGGCUGCAGAGGCAGGAAAUGCAGCCGUGGCAUUUUCGAUGCUGGGCAGAGAGACGGGAGGGUAGUCUGAGAGGACCAAGGGAGACCCAGAUGAGCUGACAGGCCAUGCUGGGCACAGGCUGCCUCCCCGGAUGGGUCUCUGUUGUAAUUUAAGGCAUUACUGUUGGGGUUUGGCGCUCCCAAGGCCCUGGCAAUAAAAACUUCCUAUCUCCA